This is a small nuclear RNA of 191 nucleotides. Its record names the gene U2. It matches the Rfam family "U2 spliceosomal RNA". From Rfam's summary of the family: U2 is a small nuclear RNA (snRNA) component of the spliceosome (involved in pre-mRNA splicing). Complementary binding between U2 snRNA (in an area lying towards the 5' end but 3' to hairpin I) and the branchpoint sequence (BPS) of the intron results the bulging out of an unpaired adenosine, on the BPS, which initiates a nucleophilic attack at the intronic 5' splice site, thus starting the first of two transesterification reactions that mediate splicing. The record is from Ensembl.
AUCACUUCUCGGCCUUUUGGCUAAGAUCAUGUGUAGUAUCUGUUCUUAUCAGUUUAAUAUCUGAUACGUCCUCUAUCUGAGGACAAUAUAUUAAAUGGAUUUUUGGAGCUGGGAGGUGGAAUAGGAGCUUUCUCCGUCUACUCCAUGCAUUGACCUGGUAUUGCAGUACCUCCAGGAACAGUGCACCAAAA